UACGUAGGGAGCAAGCGUUGUCCGGAUUUACUGGGUGUAAAGGGUGCGUAGGCGGCAGUGCAAGUCAGGUGUGAAAUGUAUGGGCUUAACCCAUAGACUGCAUUUGAAACUGUGCUGCUUGAGUGAAGUAGAGGCAGGCGGAAUUCCCGGUGUAGCGGUGAAAUGCGUAGAGAUCGGGAGGAACACCAGUGGCGAAGGUGGCCUGCUGGGCUUUAAAUGACGAUGAGGCACGAAAGCAUGGGUAGCAAACAGG
RNAcentral lists this ribosomal RNA (253 nucleotides) under uncultured bacterium. RNAcentral's name for it is "partial 16S ribosomal RNA". It matches the Rfam family "Bacterial small subunit ribosomal RNA", at positions 524 to 776 of the family's 1533-position model. The record is from RNAcentral.